AGAUGGAGACCAUCCUGGCUAACACGGAAAUUGUGUAACUCUGGAAUUUUAGAGGUGACUGCGUGACAAUUCUGAGAGGCCAAUGCCAAUGAGAGAAAAGUUUACUGCUACUCAUGAUGGCGCCCCUGGAAGCAGAAGACACAGCACGCUAUAGAGGGCCAUGUGGGAAAGCACUGGAGUAGCUCCAGGCCGGGCUUGCCAGUCUCUCUGCACUCUGGAAGGAGUUUGCCUGGGUUGGGGUUGUCCCUUGGUAGAUUCCAAACCUUCAUUUUGUCAAUUUACUUAAAGGUGACUGGGUUUAAAGGGGCUGACUGAUUGUAAAUAACUUGGAGAAUAAAUCAAUAUUCAUUAAUAAAGUUAAAUAAUUCACGUAAAAUUAAAGUAUAAUAGGCAUAAUUU
Molecule: long non-coding RNA, 399 nt
Filed under: Homo sapiens (human)
Lineage: Eukaryota; Metazoa; Chordata; Mammalia; Primates; Hominidae
Description: HSALNT0315230
Source: RNAcentral